AGAACGAACGCUGGCGGCGUGGCUAAGACAUGCAAGUCGAACGAACCGGCUAAUUGAGCAAUCGAAAGGCCGGUUAGUGGCGAAAGGGUUAGUAAUGGAUAGGUAACGUACCCUGUGCUUCGGGAUAGCGUCGUUUGCCGAAAGGCAAGCUACCGAAAGGGGCAUUAAUACCGAAUAAUAUCAGGCAUCGACGGGUGCCUGCUCAAAGAUUUAUCGGCGCAGGAGCGGCCUAUCUCCUAUCAGCUAGUUGGUGAGGUAACGGCUCACCAAGGCUUUGACGGGUAGCGGGACUGAGAGGUUGGCCCGCAACAUCGGAACUGAGAUACUGUCCGGACCUCCACGGAGGGCUGCAGUAACGAAUAUUGCGCAAUGGGCGAAAGCCUGACGCAGCGACGCCGCGUGUGGGAGGAAGUCUUUCGGGAUGUAAACCACUGUCAGGGGGCAAAAAGUCCGUUUCGGCGGAUUGAUUUAACCCAGAGGAAGUCACGGCUAACUCUGUGCCAGCAGCCGCGGUAAGACAGAGGUGGCGAGCGUUGUUCGGUGUCACUGGGCUUAGAGAGUGUGUAGGCGGCAAAGUAAGCGCUUUGUGAAAGCCCCCGGCUCAACCGGGGAAUUGCUUGGCGAACUGCUUUGCUUGAGGCAAGUAGGGGUGCGAGGAACUCUUGGUGGAGCGGUGGAAUGCGUAGAUAUCAAGAGGAACGCCGGUGGUGAAGACGUCGCACUAGGCUUGUCCUGACGCUGAGACACGAAAGCGUGGGGAGCAAACGGGAUUAGAUACCCCGGUAGUCCACGCCCUAAACGAUGUCUA
Molecule: ribosomal RNA, 808 nt
Filed under: uncultured bacterium
Lineage: Bacteria
Description: bacterial SSU rRNA
Rfam family: Bacterial small subunit ribosomal RNA
Source: RNAcentral